Molecule: regulatory RNA element, 80 nt
Organism: Acetivibrio ethanolgignens
Lineage: Bacteria; Bacillati; Bacillota; Clostridia; Acetivibrionales; Acetivibrionaceae
Rfam family: HTH-XRE RNA
Source: Rfam
GAUCAGCAUAAGCAGGGGCAUACACAGUAUGCGUCGGAACUCCCGGCAGUAAGAAGACUUGCAAAGGUGAUUUCCCUUUC